UACGUAGGGCGCAAGCGUUGUCCGGAAUUAUUGGGCGUAAAGCGCACGUAGGCGGCUUAGCAAGUCCCAUGUGAAAGCCCACGGCUCAACCGUGGAAGUGCAUGGGAAACUGCUGAGCUUGAGUACUUAAGAGGAUCGCGGAAUUCCCGGUGUAGAGGUGAAAUUCGUAGAUAUCGGGAGGAACACCAGUGGCGAAGGCGGCGAUCUGGGAAGAUACUGACGCUGAGGUGCGAAAGCGUGGGGAGCAAACAGG
RNAcentral lists this ribosomal RNA (253 nucleotides) under uncultured bacterium. RNAcentral's name for it is "partial 16S ribosomal RNA". It matches the Rfam family "Bacterial small subunit ribosomal RNA", at positions 524 to 776 of the family's 1533-position model. The record is from RNAcentral.